Carassius carassius (crucian carp) is the source of this 1664-nucleotide RNA transcript. It is a transcript of the gene named ras-related protein Rap-2b, with no coding region annotated. NCBI's taxonomy places the organism in Eukaryota, Metazoa, Chordata, Actinopteri, Cypriniformes, Cyprinidae. The transcript is spliced from 2 exons. The record is from RefSeq and is a predicted model, not a curated record.
UGUGAAAACCUGGCAACCCUGGUGAGCAGGAAGCCUGCACGCAUUGCAUUGAUCGCUCGCGGAGCGUAGACGGAGUAACGCGCUUCUAAUGCUGGGCCGCCGUCCGAAGCAAGGCCUUCCUCAGCGCGGAGCUCUCACCGAACCCCGGCCGGAACCGAGCCGAGCCACGGAGGACUCAUAAACAGCGGCCCGCGUAGGAGAGAGAGCGACAGAGACACACACACACACACACACAGAGAGAGAGAGAGAGAGACACUGUCCAAGCGUUCAGAGCCAUGAGAGAAUACAAAGUGGUCGUGUUGGGAUCCGGUGGCGUGGGAAAAUCGGCGCUGACCGUGCAGUUCGUCACCGGAUCCUUCAUCGAGAAGUACGACCCGACGAUAGAGGACUUCUACCGCAAGGAGAUCGAGGUGGACUCGUCGCCGUCGGUGCUGGAGAUCCUGGACACGGCGGGCACCGAGCAGUUCGCCUCUAUGCGCGAUCUGUACAUCAAGAACGGCCAGGGCUUCAUCCUCGUGUACAGUCUGGUCAACCAGCAGAGCUUCCAGGACAUCAAGCCCAUGCGCGACCAGAUCAUCCGCGUCAAGCGCUACGAGCGCGUGCCCAUGAUCCUGGUGGGCAACAAGGUGGAUCUGGAGGGCGAGAGGGAGGUGUCUUCCGGGGAGGGCAAGGCGCUGGCGGACGACUGGAACUGUCCGUUCAUGGAGACCUCGGCCAAAAACAAAGGCUCCGUGGACGAGCUGUUCGCGGAGAUCGUGCGGCAGAUGAACUACGCGUCGGCGCCGAGCGGAGAUGACCAGUGCUGCGCGUCCUGCGCGAUCCUCUGAGAACCGCGCGCGACGUCUGGGUUCUCCUGCGCGUUUGUUGCCAUGGUGAGUGAGUGAGUGAGUGCGCGCGCGAGCGGAGAACGAGGACAGAACACACCGCAGACAGACAGACAUCGCUUGAGAGUCGCGACCGACUUACGACUGUAACAAACUGACAGAACUAUCCUUAAAGGGCCAGCUCUCCCAGAAUGAAAGUUCUGUUAGACUGAAGACACACUGGGUGUGUGGCAGGAUUUCUGUAGUGUUGAGCGACGCGUCUCCUCGGGAGGAAGAGGAGGACUCUGGGACAGCGGAUCACUCUUCAGGACUCGCAGCACAUCAUUGAUGUCAACACAAGUGUCUUGCACUCGCUACUGGAACUCAACCCCGAGAACGUGAAAAACCAAGACACGGGAGGAAUUUAAAAUGACAAUGUUUUGCUCGUGGACUUGGAAACCCUUGUUGUGAAUCGUUUUGCUUUUCAUUCGCUGGAUUGAAACAACUUUCUCGUGCCCCCCCAACACACACACACACACACACACACACACAUCCGCACGAGGACUUCACUGUUUUGACGCGAGGACGUCUGAGCUUAUGCGUCGAGUGCCUUCCAAAAAACUGAAUUUAGUGCCAACCUGCAAGGAGUCUCGGUUGAUGGCAGUCCACACAGUUCUUAACUGUUCCUGAUGGUUUCGGGGGUUAGCGAUGUUUCAGAGGCCUGUCGUCAACAGAACCUCUGUUCUCUUUGUUUUGUUUUGAGUGAACAAUCUUUCUGGCUUUUUUCUCCAAUACACAGGUACUGAAGCCCCCAGACUCCAACCACAAACCACUGUCUGUUCGACAUCAGAUCUUUUGUUA